Gallus gallus (chicken) is the source of this 915-nucleotide long non-coding RNA. Lineage: Eukaryota; Metazoa; Chordata; Aves; Galliformes; Phasianidae. The record is from Ensembl.
UUUUUUCUGGAGAUUUUCCUUGUGAAGAUUUUCCUUGUGAAUGCAGAACCUUCUGGUUUGGAUGGGAUAGACGAACGACCUCAUACGACACUUGAUUUCAUUGCCCUCAUAAAAAUGCAACAUGGAAUACAAUUAGAAGCUGAAUUCUGUUGACAGCUGAAUAACACUGCUACUUGCAGUAUGAUUACAACAGUGUCUACCUUCGUUUUCAAAUCCAAUUUGCAUUUAACAAAAUGAAAGAUGAAAGCAACCUAGCUGAAAGUGCAUCAUCAGCACCAGCUUGCUGAAUAAUGGAUAUGAAAGACUGGAGAGAAGUCACCAAACUAGUUACAGUGUUGGAGAGAAUAUAGGGCAGGGAAACUUCAACAUGACUUAUUGCAAGCUGAUGACAUAAAUCAUCCAGGAAAGGCCAGUGAAGACCAGCUACUGAGCUUAUUUAUUGUAGAAGAGAUUGGCAUUAAUGAGCUGGAGAAGAAUGCAUUCAUCUGGGAUGAAAAUACCAUUGCGUCCUUCAAGAUAAUGAUGACCAUCCAGAGAAUGCUAUUGCUGAUGUGUCCAGAAAGACACCUUGCUCCAAAACACAAGAGUGUUUUGUGAUGACUGCAAUGCCAUACCAAAAUAUUACAGUACAUCUCAGUGCAGCACCAGGAAACAAAAGAAAUGAAAACAGUCCAGCUAUGAUAGCGUGGACUAAUCCAACACAACGACAAGUUCAACAGGCCUAUUUUGGUGAUGGAAAUGGGCGGGGGAUGAUAUAGCUUUUGCUACUUCUACAGCUUGACUUUACUAUGUGUUUUUCUCUGACUUUGACUGCAUUUCUGUAGAGCUGCAGUGGGUGUAAGGGUUGCAGGGAGAAGCUUGCAGCAGUAUUACUGAAAAAUGUAAUGGUAGUAAUUAAAAGAUCAGUCCCUAAUG